This 492-nucleotide ribosomal RNA is filed under the name uncultured bacterium. RNAcentral's name for it is "partial 16S ribosomal RNA". It matches the Rfam family "Bacterial small subunit ribosomal RNA", at positions 29 to 507 of the family's 1533-position model. The record is from RNAcentral.
AGUGAACGCUGGCGGUAGGCCUAACACAUGCAAGUCGAAUGGCAGCACAGUAAGAGCUUGCUCUUACGGGUGGCGAGUGGCGGACGGGUGAGGAAUACAUCGGAAUCUACUUUUUCGUGGGGGAUAACGUAGGGAAACUUACGCUAAUACCGCAUACGACCUACGGGUGAAAGCAGGGGAUCUUCGGACCUUGCGCGAUUGAAUGAGCCGAUGUCGGAUUAGCUAGUUGGCGGGGUAAAGGCCCACCAAGGCGACGAUCCGUAGCUGGUCUGAGAGGAUGAUCAGCCACACUGGAACUGAGACACGGUCCAGACUCCUACGGGAGGCAGCAGUGGGGAAUAUUGGACAAUGGGUGCAAGCCUGAUCCAGCCAUACCGCGUGGGUGAAGAAGGCCUUCGGGUUGUAAAGCCCUUUUGUUGGGAAAGAAAAGCAGCAGGUUAAUACCCCGCUGUUCUGACGGUACCCAAAGAAUAAGCACCGGCUAACUUCGUG